This 111-nucleotide ribosomal RNA is filed under the name Salmo salar (Atlantic salmon). The record is from RNAcentral. Lineage: Eukaryota; Metazoa; Chordata; Actinopteri; Salmoniformes; Salmonidae.
GCUUAUGGCCAUAUCAGCCUGGGUACGCCCUUGAUCUCGGAAGCUAAGCAGGGUCGGGCCUGGUUAGUACUUGGAUGGGAGACCGCCUGGGAAUACCAGGUGCUGUAAGCA